Molecule: non-coding RNA, 1318 nt
Organism: Danio rerio (zebrafish)
Lineage: Eukaryota; Metazoa; Chordata; Actinopteri; Cypriniformes; Danionidae
Source: RefSeq, a predicted model, not a curated record
AGUGUUGUAUUGCUUGUGUGAUGGUGUAGUGCAGCUGAUUGAUAUGAGUAACCAAAAUGUGAUGGUGCUGUGCAGCUGAUUGGCAUUGACAUCGGCCAAUCGGCACGUAGCACCGCCUUUUUAAACCUGAUUGGUCGGUGCUUGGGAUACGUCACGUCCGACUCCGACGCACUGGUUUGGGUGUCUGUAGCCGCGGCUACAGGUAGAGGCUCUGCGCCCGUUCUGAAUUUUGUAAGUUGUUUGAAUCGACCCACGUUAAGCUCUCUUUUGGCAUUGUUUUAGUGCAUCGUGUGGCGGUGGCUUUUCCCUUGGCUGUGGUGGCUGGAUGACUGUUCAGUUGCAGCUAUUAAUUCCGGCACCUCGCUGUAUUAUAUCGACCAACGAGUGAUUUAGAACGUGUCUGAGUGUGCGCCCAUUGGUAAGUGAAGCACGUAUGAUGUGGUGUGAUCAUUUAAAGGACCAUGUUAAUGGGCUUGUUUGCGCUUUUCCUCCUUAGGAUCCUCCCUUUUCCCCUUUCUUUCUCUCUUACGUCGGAUCUUCCUCGGGUAUCAUUUGCUUACUAGCUCCCGUGUUCAUCGCUAUUGCCGUGGUUACCGGAGACCGUCUGCAACUGCUGCUAAUGCUAACGGCGGCGUAUUGGCUGCCGCUUGGACACCACCAAUGCAGCUGCUAGCGGGGACUGCCUGCAAUAACUCUUAGCGUGCUGCUUUGUGCUCCCCUUCAUUCUUUCAUUUGUUUAUUUGUGUUGGAUAAUUGAUUUGUCAACAUAAGCAUUCUUCUGUUUUUUUGUUGUGUCUAUUUAUGCAAAGUAUUGAUUUUGUUUUUCGUUAUUAAGAGUAUUCUUUGGUGAAUUUAGUCUUUCUAGUAACAGUUAAUGUUGGGUCUAGUGUAGGUCAGAUGGUGUAAAUACAGCUGUAGCUAUCUUUCAAUUAGAUCAUGUAAAGUAGGUGUUAACCUGAUUGACCCACUUAUUUGUGUUUUGUUGGUUAUUGAUUUUUAUUUUUAUUUAUUUCAGGAACUGAGGUUUCCCCCGGUGGAUGACGGGUCACUUUCCACUGGUGGUGGUGUUUCUCUAUCGUGUGCUGUGGACACUGAGUGCGUGAUAGCGUGAUUUUUGAGUGCACUGUGGUGUGUGCGUGUGCUGGGGUAAAGUCUGUCCACUCGUACCCAGUCAGUGGGAACCUCCAAUCCUGGUUUGGUUUUGUUUAUUUAUUGUUUCUUGUGUUUAAUAAUGAAGUGGGAGUUUUUGAUGUAUUUUUAAGAACCGUACCAUUUGGUAGUUUUAUUCCAAAUAAAUAUUUUUGUACUUUUUCAUUAA